This 288-nucleotide long non-coding RNA is filed under the name Mytilus galloprovincialis (Mediterranean mussel). The record is from RNAcentral. Lineage: Eukaryota; Metazoa; Mollusca; Bivalvia; Mytilida; Mytilidae.
UACAGUUUUGUACAAGAGUAAUGUUUGGGAUGCUUAAACCUUUGGCAUAUUUUGUAAGUUGAAAAAUGAAUAUACUAAAGACCUUUUUUGGGUGUUAACAUUUGCGGUUGACUGGCAUAUUUUAUGUAGAAUGUACAACCUGUUUUAUUUUAAAAAAAAAAAAUGAUUCUAAAAGAUAACGAAAAUUAAGCAUAUGCUCUUUUAACUGUUCUUGAACAGGGCUCCAAUUUAAAAAAAAAGAAAGAGUUCAGAUGAUCAAGUUCUUUGAAGAAGGAGAAAGGGGAAACC